RNAcentral lists this long non-coding RNA (2169 nucleotides) under Oreochromis niloticus (Nile tilapia). RNAcentral's name for it is "lncRNA (ENSONIG00000030379.1)". The record is from RNAcentral. Lineage: Eukaryota; Metazoa; Chordata; Actinopteri; Cichliformes; Cichlidae.
AUGUCUCCGAAAAAGCAAGAAAGACAAGAAGCUGACCCCAGCUCUAUUCCAUGGUAUGAGUCCCUAGACCCUUAUAUGAGCUCUCUACCUUGGGAUGAACAGGUAGAAUUAGAGGAAAAGCGAAUGGAAGAAAUGCAGAAUGAAAAUCUCAUGAACAGAGAGAAGAUUAAGAUCCUGACGGAAGAAAAUGAGAGAAAGAGCGCUGAAUUAGAAAAAUUAUCCUACCAGCUUCAGGAAAAAGAAGGUAUUGAGGAGAAACAAUGGGCUCUCCAAGAUAAGAAGAAUCAGGUGCUCCAAGAAAAGCUGGAUGACGCUCUGGAAAAAAUUAAAGAUCUGCUCCAAAAGGAGAAAAAAGAGAGCAUAAAACAGGAAACCAUGGUCAGGAAGAAUCAGGAGCUCCAAGAAAACCUUGAUGAAGCUCUGGAGAAACUUAGAGAAAUCCACCAAGAAGAGAAACAACAGGCCGAGCAGAGAGACAUGCAGCGCAAACUCCAAGCCAUGGAGGAAAAACACAAAGCGCUGCAGGUGAAACAUGACAAAACUCUGCACAAAAAUCAACAGUUGCUUCAAAACAAGAAGCAAAUGGAAAUGAAACAGAAGGAAAUGGACUCCAAGCAUGACGAGAUGGAGGAAAAACACAGACUGCUCCAAAUCAAGCUUGAGAAAACAGUGCACAGAAAUAAAGAGUUCAUUGAAGAGAAAGAGCAACAAGAAAUCUUCGAGAAAGAAACGGACUCCAAGCUUGAAGUCUUGGAAGAAAAACUGAAAAUGCUGCAAGUAACUCUUGAGGAAACACUGCUCAAAAAUACAGAGAUGCUUCACGAGAAUGACCAACAAAAAAUACAAAAGGAAGAAAUGGAUUGCAGGCUGAGGAACAUCGAGAAACAAAAUAGAGGCUUGCAAGUAAUGCUUUAUGAAGCUCUCGAAAGGAAUAAAAAGUUCCUUUACGAGAAAGACCAAUGGAAAAUACAUCAGCAAGAAAUGGAGUGCAAGCUGAGGCACAUCGAGACACAAAAUAGAGGCUUGCAAGUAAUGCUUGAUGAAGCUCUGGAAAGGAAUAAAGAGUUCCUUCACGAGAAAGACCAACGGAAAAUACAUCAGCAAGAAAUGGAGUGCAAGCUGAGGAACAUCGAGAAACACAACGAAGGCUUGCAAGUUAUGCUUGAUGAAGCUCUGGAGAGAAAUAAAGAGAUUCUCCAAGACAAGAAACAACAGCCCGAAGAGCAGAGAGACAUGCAGAGCAAACUCCAAGCCAUGGAGGAAAAAUACAAAGCUCUGCAGGUGAAACAUGAUAAAACUCUGCACAAAAAUCAACAGUUGCUUAAAGACAAGAAGCAAAUGGAAAUGAAGCAGAAGGAAAUGGACUCCAAGCUUGAUGACAUGGAGGAAAAACACAGACUGCUCCAAAUCAAGCUCGAUAAAAAAGUGCACAGAAAUAAGGAGUUCAUUGAAGAGAGAGAGCAACAAGAAAUCCUCGAGAAAGAAACGGACCACAAGUUUGAAGUCUUGGAGGAAAAAUACAAAAUGCUCCAAAUAACUCUUGAGGAAACACUCCUCAAACAUAAAGAGCUGCUUCAAGAAAAAGACCAACAGAAAAUACAACAGGAAGAAGAAAUUUUUUUUCUCCACAAGAAAUAUCUAGCACUCCAAGAAUUGUAUAACGAAACGAGGUACAAAACAUCUGUACUGGAAGGAGAAAAGAAAAAAAUGGAAAAACAAUGCUCAGCGAUGCAGAGUAGCAUCAAUGAAAUGCUGAGAAAAAAUACCGAACUUGAAGAACUUUCUAAGACCUUGAAGUCCAAAAACACUGAAAUCCAGGCGCAAAAGCAAGAACAACAGAAAACACAUAAAGACCUGCAGUGUAGACUUCAAGAAAUCCAGAAGAGAAACCAGCAGCUGGAAGACAUGCACACAGAUGUGCACAAGGCAAAGCGAAUAGAGGAGGCAACAGUUAAAGAACUGCAAGACAAGCUUAAAGAAAAACAAGAACAAUUAGAAGACAUGGUGAAAAGAUGCAGCAAACUUGAGAAAGAAAACACAGAAACAAUGGAUGAGCUGAAAACCCUCAUCCUUGAGAAAAAAGUGCUCGUGGAACAUUGUCUGAAAAAGAAGAGAAAACGUUUCCACUGGUUCUGGAGAAGGGACACUGCUGCUUCUCACCUGAUGUAA